RNAcentral lists this ribosomal RNA (492 nucleotides) under uncultured bacterium. RNAcentral's name for it is "partial 16S ribosomal RNA". It matches the Rfam family "Bacterial small subunit ribosomal RNA", at positions 29 to 507 of the family's 1533-position model. The record is from RNAcentral.
AGUGAACGCUGGCGGUAGGCCUAACACAUGCAAGUCGAACGGCAGCACAGUAAGAGCUUGCUCUUACGGGUGGCGAGUGGCGGACGGGUGAGGAAUACAUCGGAAUCUACUUUUUCGUGGGGGAUAGCGUAGGGAAACUUACGCUAAUACCGCAUACGCCCUACGGGUGAAAGCAGGGGAUCUUCGGACCUUGCGCGAUUGAAUGAGCCGAUGUCGGAUUAGCUAGUUGGCGGGGUAAAGGCCCACCAAGGCGACGAUCCGUAGCUGGUCUGAGAGGAUGGUCAGCCACACUGGAACUGAGACACGGUCCAGACUCCUGCGGGAGGCAGCAAUGGGGAAUAUUGGACAAUGGGCGCAAGCCUGAUCCAGCCAUACCGCGUGGGUGAAGAAGGCCUUCGGGUUGUAAAGACCUUUUGUUGGGAAAGAAAAGCAGCAGGUUAAUACCCCGCUGUUCUGACGGUACCCAAAGAAUAAGCACCGGCUAACUUCGUG